RNAcentral lists this ribosomal RNA (253 nucleotides) under uncultured bacterium. RNAcentral's name for it is "partial 16S ribosomal RNA". It matches the Rfam family "Bacterial small subunit ribosomal RNA", at positions 524 to 776 of the family's 1533-position model. The record is from RNAcentral.
UACGUAGGGUGCGAGCGUUAAUCGGAAUUACUGGGCGUAAAGCGUGCGCAGGCGGUUUUGUAAGCCAGAUGUGAAAGCCCCGGGCUUAACCUGGGAAUGGCAUUUGGGACUGCAAGGCUUGAGUGCGGCAGAGGAGACUGGAAUUCCUGGUGUAGCAGUGAAAUGCGUAGAGAUGUGGAGGAACACCGAUGGCGAAGGCAGCCCCCUGGGCCAAUACUGACGCUCAUGCACGAAAGCGUGGGGAGCAAACAGG